AUUGAACGCUGGCGGCAUGCUUUACACAUGCAAGUCGAACGGUAACAGGCCGCAAGGUGCUGACGAGUGGCGAACGGGUGAGUAAUGCAUCGGAACGUGCCCAGUCGUGGGGGAUAACUACUCGAAAGAGUAGCUAAUACCGCAUACGAUCUAUGGAUGAAAGCGGGGGACCGUAAGGCCUCGCGCGAUUGGAGCGGCCGAUGUCAGAUUUGGUAGUUGGUGGGGUAAAGGCUCACCAAGCCAACGAUCUGUAGCUGGUCUGAGAGGACGACCAGCCACGCUGGGACUGAGACACGGCCCAGACUCCUACGGGAGGCAGCAGUGGGGAAUUUUGGACAAUGGGCGCAAGCCUGAUCCAGCAAUGCCGCGUGCAGGAAGAAGGCCUUCGGGUUGUAAACUGCUUUUGUACGGAACGAAACGGCUCUGGUUAAUACCCGGGGCUAAUGACGGUACCGUAAGAAUAAGCACCGGCUAACUACGUG
This 482-nucleotide ribosomal RNA is filed under the name uncultured bacterium. RNAcentral describes it as "partial 16S ribosomal RNA". It matches the Rfam family "Bacterial small subunit ribosomal RNA", at positions 30 to 507 of the family's 1533-position model. The record is from RNAcentral.